CAGAGAGAAACUCCAAUCGCAGGGCCCAAGAAUGAGAGCAAGAUUGUGAACAGCAGAAACAGGAUAAUAAGUGGCAGUGACUGUUUGGAGAACAGAUUUUACAAACAAAAGUGCAUGUUUUGGAAUGACAACAUGGCAGUGGUCCAUGUCCUCCAGAUCGUCCAGAAUUAUGGAGGCCCCAAACAAGAUUGCCAAGACCUAAGCACUGGGGGCGGCUGGAACUGCUUCCUCGCAGACUGCAGCAUAUACAUGUCCUUCAACUCACGCAGCCUCACAUCUAUUUGCUCUCAGAAGAGACUGACCCCAUCAAAUGGGAGGUCUUGGAUCGAGGUCUGCAUCUCUUAGGAGGGGCCGGUGGUCCGAAGCCAGGAGCUGAGCCCCAUAACCACCGCCAAUGCUACCACUGAGACAACCGCAUUCUAUGCCAUUUGGAAUGAGCACCAAGCUGCCGUAGUGCCGUCCGCAACUAGGGUGCUGAAUUCCUGGGCCCAUCCCUGCGGGAGGGACUCCUGGAACUUAUGGGUGGGAGUCCCAUACGUUAAAAUUGUACCUCCCUAGGAGGGCCUGAUGGUUUGCUACCUGAAAUUGCAGGCUGGCAGUUGAAUAAAUUUUUCUCCCAAACAGGU
Molecule: long non-coding RNA, 626 nt
Organism: Gopherus evgoodei (Goodes thornscrub tortoise)
Lineage: Eukaryota; Metazoa; Chordata; Testudines; Testudinidae
Exons: 3
Source: RefSeq, a predicted model, not a curated record